Small nucleolar RNA from Osmerus eperlanus (European smelt), 80 nucleotides. RefSeq annotates it as small nucleolar RNA SNORD103/SNORD85. The record is from RefSeq and is a predicted model, not a curated record. Lineage: Eukaryota; Metazoa; Chordata; Actinopteri; Osmeriformes; Osmeridae. The transcript has a single exon.
GCUGGCUAUGAUGACACACUUGCCCUCACUGAGAGGAUUGCCUCGAUAAUGAGAAUUCUUAUGUACUCUUCUGAGCCAAC